Long non-coding RNA from Apis mellifera (honey bee), 2567 nucleotides. RefSeq lists it as uncharacterized. The record is from RefSeq and is a predicted model, not a curated record. The transcript is spliced from 3 exons. Lineage: Eukaryota; Metazoa; Arthropoda; Insecta; Hymenoptera; Apidae.
GAUAUUGUCAGGAUUAUAGGGAAAUAGAUUGUGUAAGUCGGUUUUUAAUAAUCGAUUGAAUAAUUGUUGGUUGAUCAGGUUAAUUAGGUUUUUUCUUUCACAGGUUUUAUUUAUUCGUUGUAAGGCCAUUUCUUUCUUUUUUUUUAAUUUUAUUUUAUUUCGUUCUGGAAAGGAUCAUCUUUCUCAGUAUGUACGUAUUUUUCUUAGGACACGAACCAGCGUGUUCGAUGGCGAAUACCUUCUACUUGUGCAUUCUUGAGAUUCCGGUGAAAGAAACAGGGUCAGCACGCUCAUCGAUUCUACCACGCGCGAUUUUUCUUCGAUGAAGUUCUACCCUGUUCCGCGUUAAAGUGGAACGUGGCGGGAAGAAAGAGGAAGUUUCUUGGAGAAUCUUGGGUAGAGGAGGGUAGAUGGAAUCUUCUUUUGUGGAUAAGUUGCUUUCAAUGUGACGUGGUUCAAUUGGAACAAUUUAUAGCAUCGUAAUAACGAAAAAUACGUAUACAAUCGAUGUGUUAAGCUUCUUGGAAUGUUUGUAAGAAAGAUUAGAAGAUGUAUGAAGAUAUAAGAAGAAUCUUGGAGGAAAGUUUGAGAAAAAUGCAAAUAAGUUUCAAGGCUUCAAAAGAAUUUUUUAACGAAAGUUAAUAGAACGGAGAAGCUAAUAAUAGAGUAGAAGACAGUUUCAAAUUAACCGUUUAAAGUAGCUUUUCCUAGAAAAUUGUAUGCACUUUUUGCAUUAUUCAUUUACCACCUACUUGCUAUAACUCUUUUCAAGGAACACGUACCUAUCUAUUAAUGUAUUAUUGUUUUACAUUGUUUCACAUCGAACGCUCGUUUAAUUAAAUUCCCGACCCGAGGCGAGUAAAAGUUAGAGAUCUACGAUUAAAAAUUCGAAACGAAUGAUAAUAAACAAAGAUCAUUUCCUACAAUUUUUUUUUUCUAAAAGAAAUUUUUCUAAAAGAACUUAAAUACACACUAACAACGAUAUAUUUAAAUUUACUCGACUUAAUUAUUAUUUUUCAAAAAAAAAUCGAUCCCCAAAACUGAAACCGCGUGCAACGAUUCGAAAUUUAAAAUUUAAAAUUUCUUCCAUCCCGGAAAAUUUGCGGAAAUAUCGGUGUGAAAAAUCGGUUUCACCGGCGGCCGCCGCCAUAACACUCGAGGUGUACACUCCAACUCUCCAUUUCUCGUGUAAUGUAAUAAUGGGGCCAGCAAUGACCUACCCCAACAGAGCUGAGUCGAGCAGGAGGGUAGAUACGAAGGGGAGAAGCGUAGACAGUUGCGGGGGCAGGAGGGGGACGAGGAGGGGGAGACCCCAUCCACGGGCCGACGAGUCGAGGGUCGUAAAACCCCCUACACAUCAUCCGACUCGUCCUACCGCCCUACCAGACGACCCUAACCUGCCUCACGUCCGACUGGCAUGGAGCGGGUUGGAGAGCCGGGACCACGUGGAGGGCGAGGCUGAGGAUCGAGGGGGGUCGACGGCAACAAAACGUCAUCCCCUCGUGUCACAGAGACACACUUUUACCACUCGCCCGGCCCCUCCGAUUCCCGUAACCCUCCUUCCGCUUGGUAAUCCUCGCCAUCGGGAGCCACGCGCCGUUAGGGCGUGUGAACAGGUUUCGAGAGUUCGAAACACUCCACGCUUGUUUUCCACGCUUAGGCUCCUCUGCCUCUACGGAGUCGAGAGUGGAAAAAUUGGGAUAUGGUGGACGAUAAUUCGAGCAAUGUUUUCCGUUUCGAGGAGAAUAUUUUCCAGAGUUUCAAACGUAUAUACAUUUUAAUUGUAAUCGAGGGAAGAUCGAAAUUAUGAAAAUUUCGUGCAUUUCUCUUCUAAACACAUUGUUGCAUUUUUCGAGUUGUUGACGAGACGUGGAAAUUUUUCGAAAUUUUCCAAAUAAUCCUCUCGAAAAGAAACUUUUUCUCGAUUCCUGUCCCCGAAACGAGCGUUAAUACGUGAUUUCAGAGGCAACUGGCGAUGCUAUCCAAUCGCUCUUCAAAAAUUUUCGAAAUUUCGAAAUGCAACUUUUCACGCGAAAAAUCACUCGGUGAAGGAAACUCUCCCUCGAACGCGCCUUUAACACCCUUUUAGCGAUUGCUGGGUAAGAGGUAACUCCUCUCCGCCCUCCUUCCAUCCUUCCUUCCACUCCUCCCCCUCUUUUUUUCUCCCUUUUCCGCGCCUCGUACCCAGUCGUGUUAUUCGUUCGAAUCGCUGGUUGCUCGUUGUUCGUUAGUCGGUUAGUUAGUUACACACGGGGGACGGGGAUUGGUGUGUGCGUGCACCUUUUUCGCCAAGGUGGCCGGCGCGCGCGUCUGUCGCCAUUAAUGGAAACGGCACGGCAAAAGGGAACGCGAACGCUCUCCGUCGUCACCGACACGCGAUGACCUUUUCGCCUCUCGCUCUAGCUCGCCUCGAUUCGCGGAAAUCGGCAUUGGAUGGAUUCGUCGCGCCGAAAUGGUAAUCGCUUCGUUACGUCGUCUGCUCCUUUCCUCGUCAAACCCGGCGAUUUCGAUCGAUCGUGCGUGCGUGUGCGCGCGUGUAUCCGUGUGUGUGUGUGUGCUUAAGUAAG